RNAcentral lists this transfer RNA (87 nucleotides) under Utricularia reniformis. RNAcentral describes it as "tRNA-Arg". The record is from RNAcentral. Lineage: Eukaryota; Viridiplantae; Streptophyta; Magnoliopsida; Lamiales; Lentibulariaceae.
UGACUUCCUGGCUUGGCUCGAAUGACUGCUCUAUUAUUCUUAGAUAAAGUCUAUUUAACUCCGCUAGUUCGAGUCCAGUAAAGUUAC